Molecule: long non-coding RNA, 836 nt
Organism: Cyprinus carpio (common carp)
Lineage: Eukaryota; Metazoa; Chordata; Actinopteri; Cypriniformes; Cyprinidae
Exons: 3
Source: RefSeq, a predicted model, not a curated record
GUCUCUUCUUCACAGAGUGGGUGUCUGAUGCUGAAAACUGCAGUUAUGCUGAUUAUUCUUCAGCUUACAAGAAAAUUUUUGAACACCUUGGCUUCGACAAAAAUAACAUUCUGAAGACAGACAUGCGGCCUGUAUAUUGGAGCCCUACUACCUCUGUUUAUGUGGACCUAUAUGUGACCUCCAUCAUAGAUGUGGUAUGAGUCCAGCAUGAUUGAUCUUCUCAUACAGAUUGUAAUGUCAAACAUUUGUAUUAUCAUCAUUAAACAAUUUCUCUACAGAAUGAAAAAGCCCAGAGCAUCACAACACAGGUCAAAAUGAUAACUGUUUGGUUUAAUGACCUGUUCUGGUGGUUCGAAGACUUUUGUGGAAUUCAAACAAUACCAGUGAAAAAAGAUAAGCUUUGGACGCCAGACAUUCUUGUCAAAGAAAGCAUCAAGACAGAGUUUGGAACAAAGGAGUCUCCAUAUGUGCAGUUAAUCUGGUGGGAAAUGUCAGUUUCAGUUGACAUUUUAGCUCUGACCACUGCUUGUAAAAUGGACCUUUACAGAUUUCCCUUUGACACCCAAAUCUGCAAAAUAACACUUCACUCUGCAGUUCAUACAAGUAAAUCUACAAUCCAGGACAGACAAACGAAACAAGUUUAAUAAAAAAAGAACUGAUUGAAUUUAUAAUGAUGUGGAUCAUUUAUUUAUAUUUUCUAGAGGAGGAGCUUGAAAUUAAUCCAAUCUCUAAUAAUGAAAGCCUUCUCCUUGAGUCAAAGGAGUUAUUUCAGGCCCAGGGAGAGUGGGAACUCCUCAGUAUAGAUAUUUCUGAUUAUACAACCAAUCUUCUAUGGA